Molecule: long non-coding RNA, 798 nt
Organism: Alligator sinensis (Chinese alligator)
Lineage: Eukaryota; Metazoa; Chordata; Crocodylia; Alligatoridae
Exons: 3
Source: RefSeq, a predicted model, not a curated record
CAGUUCUCCCAAUGUUCCUUGGAUGUAGAGGGGUAGUAUUAUCCCUGUUGGACAGAUGGAGAACUGAGCCACAAACCGACUAACUGACCUUGCCAAUGUCACAGAGCAAAUCAGCAGCACAGCUGCCCAUAGCACCUGGGUCACAUAUGUGCUCCCUCUCCUUUAGCCAGAAAUUCUGUCUGCAGACUCAGAUGUAAAUCUACAAAGCACAAGGAAGCCUUCGGAGUAGAAGACUUUUACUGAUUCACAGCUUGGCUGUAAGGUGCUCAACUGAACUGCUGAAGAGUUGCACUAGACAUUUCCUAGACCUUCAGGCUGGGAGGAAGCCUUUUGAUCAUCUAUUUGAUCAUCUACCCUGCAAAACCAGCAGUCAGAGAAAUCCACCCAUUACUCCUAGAGAAGAGGGAAUUAUUCUCCUUUAUUAUCAAGCCCUGUAACUUGGGAUUGCAUUAGAAAUGGUGCCUUUUAGAUAGACAUCCGAACUCGAAUUCAAGACUCCAAGAAAUGGGGACUCCUAAUCUGUUGCAGCUAUUAAUUGUCCUUGUGAGUAUCAACCAGUGUCUGCAUUUGCGCUUCAGGUUGGGCACUCAGAAUCAUUGUGACAUUUGGUAAGUUUGGGCCUUUCUUAUGCAUCUAAAAUUAUAUAGAAUCAGAGUUAUAAAGAGGAUCAUAGACAUCCCAAGUCUCACUGCCCCAUUCUAAGCAACAGAUCAGAGUCCCCUCAUAAAACAAAAGGAUUUAUGAGUAGAUUAUACUGUAAUUUAGUUCAAAGUUUUCUCCAGUAAAAAAAUCUUUCUU